Pimephales promelas (fathead minnow) is the source of this 743-nucleotide long non-coding RNA. RefSeq lists it as uncharacterized. NCBI's taxonomy places the organism in Eukaryota, Metazoa, Chordata, Actinopteri, Cypriniformes, Leuciscidae. The record is from RefSeq and is a predicted model, not a curated record.
UCUUGGAUGACAUGGGGGUGAGUAAAUUAUCAGCAAAAGUUUUUUCAAAAGUGAACUAAUCCUUUAACAACAGUCAUGUGCAGGAUAUGUGCAACAUCACUUUGAACGUUUAAUGGGGAAUUGUUAUAAUGUCUAUUUUGUUUUACGCCAAAAUCUGUGUGCAAGUGUUGGUUCGUACUUAAAUAAGGCUGACUAGCACUUUAUGAUGUUAGUAAUUUUUGUUUACAUGCUAAUGUUGAGUAAACAUCCUGAGAAACUUACUUAUGAGGACAUGGUUACAAAAAACUUUAAUGCAAUAACAAUGCUAAUAUAACUUUAUGGAGUUUAUUUGGGUCAAAGCCAAUAUUGGAAGUAUCUGAAUCAUUGUCCUUGAAAAUGUUCUCAGUGGCAGCAAUUAUUUUUCUUUGUUGCUUUAUUGAGGGACUCUUUUUUCUCACAUAUCUAUUCAACUAAAGUGGGCCAAAUGAUGGAAAUACUUUUGUGUUUUUUAUGCAGGUUUUAGAUCACCUACUCACUUUCCAUGUAUAAAAACAGAGGUCCUGGUCAUUGUAAUGUGGGUUCUGCAACCAUUGGAGACAAUGCACCACCUUGUUUACGUACUCAGUGAACAUGCUGUCUCAUAAGGAUUGAUAUGUUGAACUUUUGAAAUAACAGACAGAGACACAAAUUAUAUUGUUUACCUGUAUUACACCUCUUCUGUAAGACAUGGCAUAGCAAGAAAUAAACUCAUGCAAUAACACUGA